This 384-nucleotide ribosomal RNA is filed under the name Chlorodiella nigra. Its description in RNAcentral is "partial 12S ribosomal RNA". The record is from RNAcentral. Lineage: Eukaryota; Metazoa; Arthropoda; Malacostraca; Decapoda; Xanthidae.
UUAGAUACCCUAUUAUACUAAUAAAAACCUAAAUUAUUAAUAGAUAUAUGCUUAAAACUUGAAGAAUUUGGCGGUGGCUUAGUCUUGUUAGAGGAACCUGUUUUUGAAUCGAUACACCACGCAUAAUCUUACUCAUUUUAUUAGUUUGUAUACCGUCAUUAUCAGAUAAUCUUUAAAGAGUGAAAUAUUAAGGCUUAAUAAAGGUAUAAAUUAAAUUAGAUCAAGGUGCAGCUUAUAAAUGAGUUAAAAUGGGUUACAAUAAAAUUUAUUUAUUAUGGAGUAAUAUUGAGAAAAGUCAAAUUAUAAAGGUGGAUUUAAUUGUAAUAAAAGUUUAAUAAGCUAAAAAGAUAUAAGCUCUAAGCUAUGUACAUAUCGCCCGUCGCU